AAUCUGGGACAAUGUUCGAAAGCCUGAUCCAGCCAUGCCGCGUGUGUGAAGAAGGUCUUCUGAUUGUAAAGCACUUUAAGGUGGGAGGUAGGGUUGUAGAUUAAUACUCUGCAAUUUUGACGUUACCGACUGAAUAUGCACCCGCUCACUCAGUGCUAGACUCCGCGGUAAUACGAAUGGUGCAAGGGUUAAUCGGAAUUACUGGGCGUAAAGCGCGCGUAGGUGGUUCGUUAAGUUGGAUGUGAAAGCCCCGGGCUCAACCUGGGAACUGCAUCCAAAACUGGCGAGAUAGAGUACGGUAGAGGGUGGUGGAAUUUCCUGUGUAGCGGUGAAAUGCGUAGAUAUAGGAAGGAACACCAGUGGCGAAGGCGACCACCUGGACUGAUACUGACACUGAGGUGCGAAAGCGUGGGGAGCAAACAGG
This 424-nucleotide ribosomal RNA is filed under the name uncultured bacterium. RNAcentral's name for it is "partial 16S ribosomal RNA". It matches the Rfam family "Bacterial small subunit ribosomal RNA", at positions 360 to 776 of the family's 1533-position model. The record is from RNAcentral.